CGGGACGGGUGAGUAAUGUCUGGGAAACUGCCCGAUGGAGGGGGAUAACUACUGGAAACGGUGGCUAAUACCGCAUAACGUCGCAAGACCAAAGAGGGGGACCUUAGGGCCUCUUGCCAUCGGAUGUGCCCAGAUGGGAUUAGCUAGUAGGUGGGGUAAUGGCUCACCUAGGCGACGAUCCCUAGCUGGUCUGAGAGGAUGACCAGCCACACUGGAACUGAGACACGGUCCAG
Molecule: ribosomal RNA, 233 nt
Filed under: uncultured bacterium
Lineage: Bacteria
Description: partial 16S ribosomal RNA
Rfam family: Bacterial small subunit ribosomal RNA
Source: RNAcentral